Molecule: ribosomal RNA, 402 nt
Filed under: uncultured prokaryote
Description: bacterial SSU rRNA
Rfam family: Bacterial small subunit ribosomal RNA
Source: RNAcentral
UAGGGAAUAUUAGAAAUGGACGAAAGUCUGAUCUAGCAACACCGCGUGUGCGAAGAAGGCCUUCGGGUCGUAAAGCACUUUUUGGAAGGAAUAGGAAGGAAUGUACUUCCAGAAUAAGUCUCGGCUAACUACGUGCAAGCAGCCGCGGUAACACGUAGGAGGCGAACGUUAUCCGGAUUUACUGGGCGUAAAGCGCGUGUAGGUGGUUCUGUAAGUAGGGCGUGAAAGCUCCUGGCUCAACUGGGAGAGGCCGUUCUAAACUACAGAACUAGAGGAUGGUAGAGGGAGGUGGAAUUCCAGGUGUAGCGGUGGAAUGCGCAGAUAUCUGGAGGAACACCAGUGGCGAAGGCGGCCUCCUGGACCAGUCCUGACACUCAGACGCGAAAGCUAGGGUAGCAAACG